Molecule: long non-coding RNA, 843 nt
Organism: Gallus gallus (chicken)
Lineage: Eukaryota; Metazoa; Chordata; Aves; Galliformes; Phasianidae
Exons: 4
Source: RefSeq, a predicted model, not a curated record
GCGGAGGAGGUGGGGGCCGAGGCGGUGCGCCGCGGCUCCGGGCGCGGGCUGGAUGAGGUACUCGCGGCCCCGCAACGAGAAGGCGCCGCGCAUCCCCGCGCACAGGCUGAGGGCGGCUGCCGAGCCGGGGUCCCGGUUGACGGUGCCGGAGUAGAAGCAGCGGGCGAGGUCGUCUCCCGGCGGCGGGGAGGAGGAGGAGGGCGGCGGCGGCCCGCCCAGAUUUUGUUUGGCUUCCAGUUUGCCAGAAGGGAAAGGAAAAGCGUGCUCCAGCCAGGGAAUGCUGCUGUCCACUGAAAAAGGUGUUUGGAUGGAGGAGCUCUUUUUCAUGGCCAGAUUGUGGCUUUUGGCAGCAGAGGUGGCAGGAAGCAGUUGCCAUAACAACUAUACCAUUAAAAAAACCCCUAAAUCUGGCUAGCUCUGAAGACAAACCAGGUGAUGAUUUACAUAAACAUUAUGAGCACAGCCAAAGGAAAUGGCUCUUGUGGUAGAACAUGCAGGCUCUGGAGCCUCAGACUGGAGUCCCUCUGGGAAGGCCUUCUGCAGGAAUAAUCAAGGAAAAGCAAAGAGAUUGCUGCCCUGCUCCUGGAAGCAUGAAAACUAAUCAUUUUCUUUGGAUUUUAUUAAAAUAUUUUUUCCCACAUAUUUUCUCUUCAAUCUUCUUGUUGAGUCAAUGUAGAAUGCUGAGUGCUAUAAGUACAAUUUAUGUAUUACUUCCAAAUUAACACAUAUAGCAUAAGAAGAGCAAGGUAACAGUAUAAGCAAUGUGGAAAAACUCAAACACUGCCUUGUUCUUGUUUAAUUAUUCCAUAUAUUUUGAUGUUUCCAAAACUAUUAUUUUUUUUU